UUGUGCACAUAGAAGAUGUAGUUGCUGCACAAAUCUUAGCAAUGGAAGAGCCUAAAGCAUCAGGAAGAUUCAUAUGUUCGAGUUCAGUGGCUCACUGGUCAGAGAUCAUUGAGAUGCUAAGACCUAAAUACCCGUUAUACCCAUUUGAGACCAAGUAGUUACUUUACUCCCAAUCUAUAUUUGACACUUUUAUGUCAUGUUUUUUGAUGUUUUGCACAAAUAAAACUGUCACAGGUGCAGUAGUGAAGAAGGGAAAGAUAUGCCUCAUAGCUUGGACACAACAAAGAUACGUGAACUUGGCUUACCGCCAUUCAAGUCUUUAGCUGAGAUGUUUGAUGACUGCAUCAAGUGCUUCCAAGACAAGGGUCUACUCUGAAACUCCUACUGUUAUCAGAAAAUCAAAGUGAUCUUAGCUUAGUAGUUUGGUCUUGUUUUAAGUUUAUUUUAAACACCAAUAAUCUAGCCUAUCUUAUGAUUCCCCACUAUGUCGUUCCCAUCUUCUUGGAGUUUAGCAUAAAUCGACUGAUAGUGUCACACGUGCUUGCUUGUGACAUGGGUCUGUCUGUACAAAGAAGGGUGCAAGAGCACGUGUACACAAAAAGUAGUGGAUAAUGCCCACUUUUGAGCCUCCAAAAGCAUAAACGCAUGCGAUAACGUUUGUAGACUCUACAAAGAGGAAGGUAGGAACCUAAGAGACGCAGAAGGCGAGACCAACAAAGAACAACUACACAUAAUGCAUCACAGAUUUAACAUAAGAGACUGAAGAAGGUAAAGCCAACAUCCAAAACUCCUGCAAAAACCCUCUUUAGAAGGAUCUAAAAGCACAAGGAGAUUACACAUGCUACAUUCUUAUUCAUGUUCUUUUGAAAUAGCAAACUAAACCUUAAACGAAACGACUAAUUAUUGGAAUACAGUGAAUCAGAUAAGCUGAAAAACUUCAGGGGCAAGCGAUGUUGAGAGGAGGCGCUGCAAAGGCAAACUUCAUAUCAUCAUGCUCAAGUUCCACAUCUGUGAAGUCACAGUCAGGUAGCUCACUUGGUAAGCUGACGUUAUUAACAUUAUCAACCACAGAGAAAUCAUCAAACAGAUGAUCAUAGUCCUCGUCCUUGAAAAAAUAAUCAAAGUCCAUCUCCCCAGCAGCCUUUGCGCCAGACUUCUCUUCUGCUGCUAAGAAGCUCAGAUCAGGGAUCUCCAGCUCAGAAAGGUCGAAACCUUCCUUGGUCAAAUCACCAGAAGCAGCAACAUCUUUCCUCAGAGACACCUUUUCUUUAGAAGCAGCAGAACGCAAGCACUGGCUGUUCGCUGACGCAACCGACGCAUCAAACUCAACCUUCUUGUCAGCAUAAGCCUUCCCAGCUUCUUCAAGGGUUGCAUAAGUACCCAACCACACCUUAGUUUUGGUAAGUGGGUUUCUAAUCUCAGCAGCCCAUUUGCCUGAUUGCCUCAGCCUAACUCCCACUGGCUUGUUAACUUGCAUACGUCUAGAGUUUUUGUGAUACUGAGAACUCUCAGAGAGCAGAAAGGGGAGGUUAAUCUCAUGGACAAUGCGCUUCACCUUAGGAGGCUUACACUCGAACCAUUCGUCGCUAGAGGAGUCAUCAGUAGCAUAAGGGUCACUGACAAUAAUACGAACUUUCCUUCCUCUCACGGACUUCUUCAUAUCUGAUUCAAACACUUCAAAAUCUCUUACCAAAAACUGCUGAAUCAGACAAGGGGCUUUGUCUCAGCGAACUAUGAAAAAGGGUAACCUUUGCCUCUUGUGAGUCCUGUACAAAUAAAAAGAAACCCAUAACCAGUUAGGCUUCUUCUUGUAGAUGGAGAGGAGACAAGAAAGGUCAUACCUUUUAGGUCUUACGCCCAUGGAAAGUGAUGGAACCUCCAGAACAAGCCUCUGCUUGGAGCAGAAGCGAAGAGAGUUAAGAACAGUGGUCAGAACAAAGAACAGAGCAGACGAGGUCGAAGAAGACGAUCGAGUAGGAGAGGAGACGUGAAACAGAGACGAAAUCAAAGCCGAUUCAGACACAGCCGACAUAAAUCUCCGACCUUUACUGAUUGUUCCUGUUCUUCAAUAAGACGCAGAACCCAGAAAGAUCAGUGACAAAGCAAACCCUUAAACCCUAGAAAGAAGUGUAAAAAAAAGGUUCUUGAUUUUCACUCUGUUUUGCAGAAAAAUCAGAUCUUUAGAGAGAGAGAAGAACGUAAACAACAGCGACAGUAGCGAAUCUAAGAGAAGACUUUGGUUUUGAUUAAUUAAACUAACGAGUUCCUGGGAGAGAUUGUGUAUGAAAAAAAAUUAAAGCUUUUUCACCUACCUUUGUGUGAGGCGUACUCUUGAGUUUUCUCUCAGGGAUAAAGCAGCUUUCAACCUCUGUUUAUAUUCUGUUAUUUUUUGAUUCACCUCUCCGAUUUUCUCUCUAGGUAUUUAUCUUCUGGUCAAAAGGAGCAAUUAUCUUUCUUUCUUUUUUUAUUACUAGACCCAUUCAAACAAAACGUAACAAUUUUGGAAGUAAAAUAUAUACUUCCUAUAUAAUUUCACAUUUUCUAAAAUAUGCGAGAGCAGAAUUUAUUAAAUUUCAUUCAAAUUAUGCAAUGUAUUUUUCUUUUAAAGAAAUCAUUUUAUUGAUUAAAAGUUAGAGGUUGAAAAUGAAAACAAACCCUCCAUAUGGAUACUUUAACUAUACUUUUUUUUGUCAAACGGAUACUUUAACUAUACAAAAUGGUAUAAAAUCUACUAUAUUUGUAAGGUUAACCCAAAAAUAAAUCUAUAUCUGCUUACAUUUUCAGAUAAGGAAUUCUAUUUGAGGGUUUUUAUUCUUAAAAAUAUUUUGUUAGCAUUCUUCUCUUGUAAAGAUCUACAUCCAACUAAGCUACAUAUGUUUGAUUACAUAAAUUGUUUUUUUUUUCUGACUGAAAUAAAUAUAUGAUACUCCAGUAGAAUAAAUACUGAGAUCUGGUAGACAAAUAUUCAAAAUGAGAAGAAAUUACAGCAUAAAUUAUCAUAUUUUUAUGUUCUCUUGAAUUAGUAAAAAUCUGAUAAAAGUAGUAUAUCAUCAAUGUAUAAGGGAUGUGCAAAUUGAUGGGCCCAUGACCAACCAUGCUUAAUAUCCCAUGCAUCUAUCAUGGCCCACCUAAAAUUCCAAUCGUCUCAGGGUACCCACUUGGCCACUUCUACCGUGUGAAUGUGAUACAUUUUCUCCCUUUUUUCUUUCUAAACCUCGUUUACCAAUGAAUUCAGGUGAAAAUAGUAAAGUGUCAAAUUGGGCCGGCCUGUCCCAAACAAAAGUUAUCUGUGGUAGAUUGGCCCGCAAAGUUCACGGGUAACUUGUAUAAAAAUAUAAGCCCUUGAUAAAUUUGUACGGUUAGCUUAAUGACAACGAAACACACAUUGAUUUUUCUUCUACGACUUCUAAAGUUUUGCUUGACGUCUUAAACAAAGCCAUAAACAAAGAGAAAAAAAAAAAAUUUGACCAAAAAAAAUUUGACAAGAAAAAAAAGAAAAAAAGAAAAAAAGAAAAAAAGAAGAAGAGAAAAGACACAUAGUAUUGAAUACUAAUGAAGUAAUGAUAAUACAACUAACUCACGAUUUCUGUCAUUAUGCAUAGGCCUCGGACAUUUAUCAGGAAAAUCGAUUAUGUACCUAAAAAUAUCGAUUAUGUGCCUAUAAAUAUCGAUUAUAUUUAGUUUCUAAAUAACCAACAUCUUAAGAAUAUUAUCUAUAAACCAAAAUACCAAAAAUCUGAAUUAUUUAAAUAUCUUUUAGAGAAAUACCCUAGGAUAUCAUUAAAAAAGUUUUUGUCACAAAUAUAGAAUUAAAGAUCAAAAUGACUAAAAUGUUUCAUUAAAUAGGUAAAUAUACACUUAUAAAUUAUAGCAAUAGAGUUAAAUAAUCCAAACUUUAAAGUUUAGAGUUAAGGGGUGGAGAUUUAUAAUUGAAGUUUAAAAUUUUAUAAAAUAAAAAAUAAAUAUUAAAAAUUUGAAAAGUAUUUUCGAAUUACAAAAAAAAAAUUCAAAAAUAAAACAAAAAAUAAUAUCAAAAAUAAAACAUUUUGGUCAUUUUCCUACUUAAGAUCUAUUUUUGUAACAAAAACUUGAAAAUUGUCUAUUUGGGAAAAUGGCUCUGUCUUUUGUCCAAAAUAUUUUAAAUUCUCCGAAUUACCUAAUAUUUUUAUCCGAACAACCGAAUCAUCCGAUAUUCAACCUGAAAAAACCUUGAAUUAUCUAACAUUUUUUAACCUAUAACAUUUGAAAUUACUCAAGAAAAUAAAAACCUAACCAGAAUUAAAUUAAACCCAAUUUUUUUUGCAUAUUAGCUAAUUUCCAACGUUACUACUCUAAACGAACCAAAAACUAACACAAUCAAAUCGAAACCUAAUCGGAUUUUGUAAAUAAUUUCUAAAUUUCUAAAUUUCUAAAUUUCUAGCACUAGAAAGCUGACAACUGAAAUAUCAAAACUGAACCGAAAAUCAAAAUAUUCAAACUGAACCGAAAACCGAACGCUCGUAUUUUUGUGUAGCAUCAAAUUCAGUGUUCAUGUAUAAGCAUGAUUGGACCAUUUUUUAUUUACGAUUUAUUUCACUUAAAUUAUUUUGCUUAUGAGGCCGAAAUUUGAUUAUUUUGCUAAAUAUAUUUUUGCACUCGAAUAAAAUAUGAGGCUGUCUGGUUGUGUAUGAUUGGACCAUAAAACAUGAUGCAUGCAAUGCAAUUUUAAAUUGAAAACCACAGAUCCAUUGAAUUGUUUAUCUUUAAAAAUUAAAAAAAUGAAGCCUGCAUACGAAUCGCAGCAAGAACCAUGAUACUUCUUCACCAGUCACAUUCAUAUAUCUUUAAUGGGAAGGUGGUAUCAGUCAUGAGAUCAGAAUCAAUGGGACGAUCAGUUCAAUUAUUUGUGCUGAUAUAAAAAGAACUUUUAAAACCGUUUUACUUUAUUUUUAUAAGGCCAAUAAAUCACUCAUCCCUGUGUUUAUGAAUCUGUGUGAUCUGCUCAGACAAGUCAAGAAACAUGGCUACCAAAUCAGACAUGUUCGGAGACCACACCAGAGAGUCGCUUCUCUCUCGAAAAGGCUGCUCAGACUUCGGCUUCAAUGACUCCGGCAUCAUCUCCGACGACCGUCGUUCUAAAUGGCGGUGUUUCCGGUUCUUCUCCGACGGGAUCGUCGCUUCCUGGAAAGCUCUCUACGACUUCGCCGCCAGUUUGUACGAGAUGGGUCGUUCCGAUCGCCGGAAAGUUUACUUCGCCGUGAAGAUGGGAGUGGCUCUCGCGCUCUGCUCUUUCGUCAUCUAUCUCAAGGAGCCGCUUCAUGACGCUAGCAAGUACGCUGUGUGGGCGAUUCUAACUGUCGUCGUCGUCUUUGAGUAUAGCAUAGGUACUGGAACUGACUUUCCUGGAACAAUUCUAGAUUCGAAUCGAUUAGAUUAGCUUCUGGGUUUGUUGUUGUUGCUCGAUUGAAUCUGAAAGUUUGUUCCUUUCUCAAUAAAUCAGCACCUGAGAUUGUUGUCUGAAGCAAUUUAAGAUCUGUCCUGGUUAAAGGGUUUAGAAUUAUUACAGUUCUAUCCACAUCUGUUGCUUGCUUGAUCUCUCUCUCAGAGAUCUCUGGUCUGAUGAUGUGUAACUCUUUUUUUUUUCGUGUAGGAGCAACAUUGGUAAAAGGAUUCAACAGAGCCAUAGGCACACUCUCUGCUGGUGGGCUUGCUCUUGGCAUAGCUAUUUUCCAUUUUUUAAUGCUGUAUGUUUACAUAUUUUUUACAAUUUUCGAAAAUAAUUAAUAUUAAAAUGUAAAACUAUAUUUUAUGCCACGUGUCAUCUUUCGGGAGAAAUUUUUUCCGCUGAUGUGGACGCCCUAUGGAGCCUCAAAAGCUCCCUUUUAUUAAUUUUCGAAAAUAAUUAAUAUUAAAAUGUAAAACUAUAUUUUAUGCCACGUGUCAUCGUUCGGGAGAAAUUUUUUCCGCUGAUGUGGACGCCCUAUGGAGCCUCAAAAGCUCCAUUUUAUUAGUAGAGUGAAAAAUAGUAAUCUUACAUAUGUUUAAUGUAGUUUUCCAUUUUUUAAUGCUGUAUGUUUACAUAUUUUUUACAAUUUUCGAAAAUAAUUAAUAUUAAAAUGUAAAACUAUAUUUUAUGCCACGUGUCAUCUUUUGGGAGAAAUUUUUUUCGCUAAUGUGUACGCUCUAUGGAGCCUCAAAAGCUCCAUUUUAUUAGUAGAGAUUUUUGUUAGCAAAGUCGUAAUCACCAAAUCAUGGGCCGGCGACUUCUUUAUGUUAUGUUGGGAUGUAUGGGCUUAUCAGUGCACUAACCUCAUGUGCUUAUUAUGUCUUACGUUCACUUGAGUUCUCGAAUUUAACCCGUCUACAUUCAGAUUCAAACCUUCUGAAACAAUUGUGCCAAUUUGUAAGUUUCUUUUAGAUAUCUAAUAUAUCCUAAAUAAAAUUAUUUGGUUGGCUGAGCAAAGAUAUCUUAUCUCCAACUCAUAAGUUAAAAAAAAAAUGAUGUACGAAUAUGGUUGACGACUUGACUUGUUGUUGGAAAUGCGUAGGAUCCAAAAAAAGUCAACCAGAAACAGAACUUGACUCUGAUUGUGAAUCCAGUAAUCAGAACAGAGGAACAGUAUUGAAUAAUAUUAAAAUGGGAGAGUACUUGGUAACUGGAGGGACAAGCUUUAUAGCCUCUCACGUUGUAAAGGCACUUCUUGACUUGGGCCAUUCCGUAAGAACAACUGUUAGAGACUCCUCAGGUACUUUCAGAUCUCUCAUUUAUGUUUUGCUGCUACGAGUUUUGUUUCUAACUAUUUUGUAAAGAUGAAGAGAAGGUUAGGUUUUUGUGGGAGUUAAAAGGAGCCAAAGAAAGGUUAAAGAUUUUCGAAGCCGAUCUAACAGUGGAGGGAAGCUUUGACGAGGCUGUCAAAGGUGUUGAUGGAGUCUUCCACAUUGCCUCUCGUGUUACUGUUUGUCUGGACAAAAAUGAUCUGGUCAAUUACAGUUUACUUUUGUUAGAAAAUAAUCUCAUUUUCUAUUUCAUAUCGAUCAAAGUAGUUGAAGUAUUGGAGAUAACUGAUGUUUUUUUUUCCCUCAGGAGAAGUUGGUCGAUCGAGAUAUAAAUGGAACAAGGAACUUGAUGAACUCUUGCGAAAAAUCAAGAAACACUGUGAAAAGGAUCGUUCUCACAUCUUCUUCAACCGCAGUCAGGUACCGCUAUGAUGCCACAGACGCCUCUCCACUUAACGAAUCGCAUUAUAGCGAUCUUGACUACUGCAGAAACUUCAAAGUGAGAAAACAUACCUCAUUUUUGUAUCAAUUUCACCCAUCCUCAUGGCUCAUACAUUGUUGUCUGAAAAAUGUAUGUAGAUUUGGUAUGGUUAUGCAAAGACAUUAGGAGAGAAAGAAGCUUGGACUAUCGCAGCCGAGAAGAAUCUAGAUCUAGUGGUUGUAAUCCCUUCGUUUUGUAUCGGUCCAAUACUUAGUCCAGAACCCACAAGCUCCCCUCUCAUUCUCCUCUCCAUAAUCAAAGGUUAGGGAUAGUCUUUUCAUUUUGACUAUUACAUUUUAAAUUUCUGUAACGCACCUCAACUUUCUUGUUUUGACUAGGUGUUCGGGGAGAUUAUCCGAAUGUCACGGGAGGGUUUGUGCACAUAGAAGAUGUAGUUGCUGCACAAAUCUUAGCAAUGGAAGAGCCUAAAGCAUCAGGAAGAUUCAUAUGUUCGAGUUCAGUGGCUCACUGGUCAGAGAUCAUUGAGAUGCUAAGACCUAAAUACCCGUUAUACCCAUUUGAGACCAAGUAGUUACUUUACUCCCAAUCUAUAUUUGACACUUUUAUGUCAUGUUUUUUGAUGUUUUGCACAAAUAAAACUGUCACAGGUGCAGUAGUGA
Molecule: long non-coding RNA, 7857 nt
Filed under: Brassica napus (rape)
Lineage: Eukaryota; Viridiplantae; Streptophyta; Magnoliopsida; Brassicales; Brassicaceae
Description: long non-coding RNA (BNAP_LNC008056)
Source: RNAcentral